UACGUAGGGGGCUAGCGUUGCUCGGAAUUACUGGGCGUAAAGGGCGCGUAGGCGGAUAGUUCAGUCGGGGGUGAAAGCCCGGGGCUCAACCUCGGAACUGCCUUCGAUACUGGCUAUCUUGAGUACGGGAGAGGUGUGUGGAACUCCGAGUGUAGAGGUGAAAUUCGUAGAUAUUCGGAAGAACACCAGUGGCGAAGGCGACACACUGGCCCGUUACUGACGCUGAGGCGCGAAAGCGUGGGGAGCAAACAGG
This 253-nucleotide ribosomal RNA is filed under the name uncultured bacterium. Its description in RNAcentral is "partial 16S ribosomal RNA". It matches the Rfam family "Bacterial small subunit ribosomal RNA", at positions 524 to 776 of the family's 1533-position model. The record is from RNAcentral.